RNAcentral lists this ribosomal RNA (483 nucleotides) under uncultured bacterium. RNAcentral's name for it is "partial 16S ribosomal RNA". It matches the Rfam family "Bacterial small subunit ribosomal RNA", at positions 30 to 507 of the family's 1533-position model. The record is from RNAcentral.
UUGAACGCUGGCGGCAGGCCUAACACAUGCAAGUCGAGCGGAUGAAGGGAGCUUGCUCCUGGAUUCAGCGGCGGACGGGUGAGUAAUGCCUAGGAAUCUGCCUGGCAGUGGGGGAUAACGUCCGGAAACGGGCGCUAAUACCGCAUACGUCCUGAGGGAGAAAGUGGGGGAUCUUCGGACCUCACGCUAUCAGAUGAGCCUAGGUCGGAUUAGCUAGUUGGUGGGGUAAAGGCCUACCAAGGCGACGAUCCGUAACUGGUCUGAGAGGAUGGUCAGUCACACUGGAACUGAGACACGGUCCAGACUCCUACGGGAGGCAGCAGUGGGGAAUAUUGGACAAUGGGCGAAAGCCUGAUCCAGCCAUGCCGCGUGUGUGAAGAAGGUCUUCGGAUUGUAAAGCACUUUAAGUUGGGAGGAAGGGCAGUAAGUUAAUACCUUGCUGUUUUGACGUUACCAACAGAAUAAGCACCGGCUAACUUCGUG